This is a non-coding RNA of Maylandia zebra (zebra mbuna), 417 nucleotides long. NCBI's taxonomy places the organism in Eukaryota, Metazoa, Chordata, Actinopteri, Cichliformes, Cichlidae. The record is from RefSeq and is a predicted model, not a curated record.
CGUCACACACUGAGCGCUGUGAGCGGGAGCACUGGAGAGUUAGAGACUGCAAAAGAUUCUGUGGCUAGCUACACACGAGUUCUUAACGCGCGACGGGUGCAUGUUUAAUGGUCACGUGCUGUGAAAGGGACUGAAGAGCGGGUUGGCAGGGGAGAUCACUUGCUGUGUGAUUCCUGCGUGUGUACUUGUCCUAGCACAGUAGCUGUGUGGAGAAACCGAAGUGAGUUCAUGAUGUUCUCCCAUAGAAAUGUAUGUUUAAAAGAGAGUUUACAGUGCACUUUAUUGCCAGUUGACCUGCGAAGUUGUGGGAUGUAAACAAUGUGUUUAUUUGUUUUGUUUUCUCUUUUUUUGUUGUAUUUGUUUCUUGACAGGUCACUACUGUUGUCUAUACUGUUUGGAUUUAACAUGUACAUAUGA